GACUCUCGGCAACGGAUAUCUCGGCUCUUGCAUCGAUGAAGAACGUAGCGAAAUGCGAUACUUGGUGUGAAUUGCAGAAUCCCGUGCACCAUCUAGUCUUUGAACGCAAGUUACGCCCGAAGCCAUUUGGCCGAGGGCACGCCUGCCUGGGUGUUG
This 156-nucleotide ribosomal RNA is filed under the name Lupinus angustifolius (narrow-leaved blue lupine). RNAcentral describes it as "rRNA 5_8S_rRNA". It matches the Rfam family "5.8S ribosomal RNA". Rfam says of the family: 5.8S ribosomal RNA (5.8S rRNA) is a component of the large subunit of the eukaryotic ribosome. It is transcribed by RNA polymerase I as part of the 45S precursor that also contains 18S and 28S rRNA. Lineage: Eukaryota; Viridiplantae; Streptophyta; Magnoliopsida; Fabales; Fabaceae. The record is from RNAcentral.